Molecule: ribosomal RNA, 232 nt
Filed under: uncultured bacterium
Lineage: Bacteria
Description: partial 16S ribosomal RNA
Rfam family: Bacterial small subunit ribosomal RNA
Source: RNAcentral
GACGAACCGUGCGAACGUUGUUCGGAAUCACUGGGCUUAAAGGGCGCGUAGGCGGCCCCCCAAGUCAAGGGUGAAAUCUUUCGGCUUAACCGGAAAAGUGCCUUUGAUACUGGGGGGCUCGAGGGAGGUAGGGGCGGACGGAACUUCCGGUGGAGCGGUGAAAUGCGUUGAUAUCGGAAGGAACGCCGGUGGCGAAAGCGGUCCGCUGGCCCUCUACUGACGCUGAGGCGCG